This 257-nucleotide ribosomal RNA is filed under the name uncultured bacterium. Its description in RNAcentral is "partial 16S ribosomal RNA". It matches the Rfam family "Bacterial small subunit ribosomal RNA", at positions 524 to 778 of the family's 1533-position model. The record is from RNAcentral.
UACGUAGGGGGCUAGCGUUGUCCGGAUUUAUUGGGCGUAAAGAGCGUGUAGGCGGCCAGGUAGGUCUGCUGUGAAAACUCGAGGCUCAACCUCGAGACGUCGGCGGAAACCAUCUGGCUAGAGUCCGGAAGAGGAGAGUGGAAUUCCUGGUGUAGCGGUGAAAUGCGCAGAUAUCAGGAAGAACACCCGUGGCGAAGGCGGCUCUCUGGGGACGGUACUGAGCUGAGACGCGAAAAGCUAGGGGGAGCGAAACGGGG